This 497-nucleotide ribosomal RNA is filed under the name uncultured bacterium. RNAcentral's name for it is "partial 16S ribosomal RNA". It matches the Rfam family "Bacterial small subunit ribosomal RNA", at positions 28 to 507 of the family's 1533-position model. The record is from RNAcentral.
GAUGAACGCUGGCGGCGUGCCUAAUACAUGCAAGUCGAGCGAACAGACGCGGCGCUUGCUGCGUUGACGUUAGCGGCGGACGGGUGAGUAACACGUGGAUAACCUACCUAUAAGUCUGGUAUCAUUUCGAGACACCGGAGCUAAUCCCGGAUAAUCUAUUGCACCGCGGGGUGCAAUGGUAAGAGUCGGUUUUGCUGUCUCGUAUAGCUGGAUCCGCGCCGCAUGAGCUGGUUGGUAAGGUAACGGCUUACGAAGGCAAGGAUGCGUAAACGAACUGCGAGGGUGAUCGGCGACAUGGGAACUGAGACACGGUCCAGAGUCCUAAGGGAGGCAGCAGUAGGGAAUCGUCCGCAAUGGGGGAAAGCCUGACGGAGCAACGCCGAGUGAGUGAUGAAGGUCUCCGGAUCGUAAAACUCUGUUAUGAGGUAAGAACAAAUGUGUAAGUAACUAUGCACGUCUUGACGGUACCUAAUCAGAAAGCCACGGCUAACUACGUG